Molecule: non-coding RNA, 455 nt
Organism: Tachysurus fulvidraco (yellow catfish)
Lineage: Eukaryota; Metazoa; Chordata; Actinopteri; Siluriformes; Bagridae
Source: the annotation of a RefSeq genome assembly
GUUUGAACUAAACACUCAGAAAAACAAUGUCGUUCCUCUUCAUUGUGCUUUUCACUCUUGCUGAUGUCGCAGAGGCUGCUGACAAUAGCAUUAAACCAGAUCAAACCAAUGUAUUUUCAACGGAAGGCAGCAACAUCUCACUGUCCUGCACAUAUACUGGAUCAGUUUACAGUUUCCACUGGUAUCGACACAAACCUGUAUCAAGACCUGAGUUUCUGUUGCUGAUUGAUGAGAGAGGUAAAUAUGUCACACCAGCUCAACCACCUCAUCCACGAUUGUCCAUAAAACUUAAAAAUGAUCAAGAUAAAAAGAGUAAGAAAGUGGAUCUGAUCAUCUCCUCUGCUGCUGUAUCAGACUCUGCUCUAUACUACUGUGCUCUGCAGCCCACUUUUGCCCUGGGUGUGGGCUUCCUGGGUGCUAGCACUUCAUGGGUGUGGGCUUCUAAAGACAUGUAA